AUUGAACGCUGGCGGCAUGGCUAAAGCAUGCAAGUCGAACGCGAACCCUUCGGGGUGAAAGUGGCGAAAGGGCGAGUAAUGCGAUCGAACGUACCCCAAGGUGGGGAUAGCGUCGGGAAACUGGCGGUAAUACCCCAUGUGCUCUACGGAGGAAAGGCCACCCUUAAAAGUGGGCGCCUCGGGAGCGGCGAUCGUCCUAUCAGGUAGUUGGUGAGGUAAAGGCUCACCAAGCCGAAGACGGGUAGCGGGUGUGAGAGCAUGACCCGCCGCAUCGGAACUGAGACACUGUCCGGACUCCUACGGGUGGCAG
This 310-nucleotide ribosomal RNA is filed under the name uncultured Planctomycetota bacterium. RNAcentral's name for it is "bacterial SSU rRNA". It matches the Rfam family "Bacterial small subunit ribosomal RNA", at positions 30 to 351 of the family's 1533-position model. Lineage: Bacteria; Pseudomonadati; Planctomycetota. The record is from RNAcentral.